UGGAGGCAUGAGAAGGUGGAGCAGUCCCCUGUACUGCAUCCUACUGGUUAUUUCCUCCUACAGUAAUAAUGCUUCUGAUUAUUCACUUCCCAUUUUCUUCUGGGAAAUGACUUCAUUUUGCAGUGACAUUAU
This is a small nucleolar RNA of Bufo bufo (common toad), 132 nucleotides long. RefSeq annotates it as small nucleolar RNA SNORA47. The record is from RefSeq and is a predicted model, not a curated record. NCBI's taxonomy places the organism in Eukaryota, Metazoa, Chordata, Amphibia, Anura, Bufonidae. The transcript has a single exon.